GCACGUGUCGUCAGGACUUCCUGAAGCUGCGUCACAGGCGUGCAUCCUUGACCUUGGCAAAAUAAACUUGCUAAAUUAACUGAGACCUGUCUCAGAUUUUGGGGGUUCACAUUUUGGUAACCACAGGGGGAUUCUGAGUGAAGAUGCCCCUGGCCUGUGACAAAUCUCCUGUGGGUGCUUGGUACCCGCAUCAGCUAACUUUAUGGCUCAAACCAAUGGGACAACUUGCUGAGGCCUGUGAGCACCUCCUCAGUGAAUCCCUGACCUUUCAAAAUUUGGUCAAGAUCUAAAGUUUAUUUUGCUGUACAACUUCUUUUUUUUUUUUGAGUUUUACUUGCUUCCAACAAGGAAGGCAUGUCUUCCUACUUCCAUGACGAUGGAAAGCAGGUAACCCCUUUGUGGAGUUUGAGCUCGCUGCCAGCAGGGAAGAGGAGUUUUAUUUUUCCCUGCUGCUAGGAUGGGAGAGUGAAGUCUACAGCCUGAGACCCAUCACAAGGUAAGAAACUGGUUUGGGAUUCUGUCUUGCAAAUUCUUUUUAAACAACUAAGGUUAGCAUUAACAAGCAGCUGGUUUUAAUUUCUGCUUACACUUAGAGCACUCAGAAAUCAUAUAAUUUGUGUGAUCAUUGUUAGUUUUCCUUAACUGUUUUGUUGUUUGUUUCUUAACUGUCUCGUUGGGUUUGUGUGUGUGUUUGUUUCAGUGCUUUCCCUUAUCAGAUUUGACCAACUCCAAACCUUCUAGCUCACUAAUGUGGAAUGUUCCACUCCAAAGAAAUAAGAGCACCUUGCUCCCCUCAGCCUUUCCUGGCAUUCUCAGGCAACUGAGAAUCACCUGAGGGUGUCUGGGAGAAACACUCCCUAAGACAUGCAGUGGCUCUAAAUAGGUUCCCCCUCAGAAGAACAUACUUGGAGUUUAAUCUCAACCAGCAGGUACAUAGAAGGAGCUGACCCCUCCCGAACCUUGAGGCCCUGACACACUGUGCCAGGUGGCUGAGACAUGGGCGGACAGAACAGGUUCAGGGGGUCAUGACUCUGAAGAGCUAGGUCUGCGAGCAGCACAUUUUGGGUCUGACAUACGUCCCAACUUGGUCAGAUCCAAAGAGUAACUCUGAAUUAUGGGGAACAAGGCCUUUGAAGUGGGAGGAAAAUGGCCAGCAAAAGGGAAAAAGAAAAAGGGAAAAGAUUUUUAAUUUUGACUACAAAAGGGGCUUUAUUUACAUAACAAGGCCACCUUUUUGCCAGUCAAACCAAACUGAAAGAGGAAUGGCUGUACUACUGAAUUAGCAGCAUUUUCUCCUAGCUGACAUAUGGUAAUGAGAUUUUAAAAUAUUUUUUAAAGAAGUUCAAUGAUUAAAAGUCAGCUUAAUUAGAAGGAUAACAUCCAAGAUGUGAGUGUGUAUGUGUGCACGUGUGCAUAUUUGUAUUUAAAAGGCCUUCAUUGUUUUGGGUUUUUUUGUUUGUUUUUCUCUCCUAAGACCUUGUCUUUUUUUGAGCAAAAGUUUUUUUUUCUUUCUUAUCAGUUGACUGAAUGCUCUUUUCACCUGAUUUAUUGACUAAAAUAGUUAUUACAACAGAGGCUACGCUUGGGUUUUUAAGGGAGAAUGUAGUUUAGACACUCAGAAAUGUCUUUGUUUAAAAAAAGUUUUUUUAAGUACACUAUAAAAGCGUCUCCCUCGAGUACCACCAGACUUUUUCUCUCUGUACCUUAUGAUGGAAAUUUUGCUAUUUAAUUUUCAACUGAGUUGUUUCCUUUAAUAUGCAAAUUUAAGCCUAUUUAGCUAUCAACUGCCUCGGGUUGUAAAACAGGUUAUCAAGGAUCUAAAAGUCUAAGAUAGGGAAAAAAAAGGUCUUAUUGAAUCUAUAAGAUGUACUUCCAUCCACAUGCCCAAUACAUCUAUGUAUUUAUGUAUUGUGUAUACAAUGUUUCACUACUGAAAAAUAUAUAAAGGGCUUAAAGAAAAAUGAAAGCAUUUAAAUAAAAUACUUUAUCAGGAAAAAAGAAAAGACUAGUCAAAUGCUUUUUCGAGUUUAUGGAACUUAAGUAAAAGCUUUAAUAAAUAAGCCAGCUUUAAAAUUAUUAGUAAAGUAAUAUUAGAAAUGUCUGAGGAAUUGCCAGCAUACUUUUUUUUUGCAUUUAUUAAUCAGACAAUUUCAUGCUUAUCCCUGCCAAAUAGUGUAAGAUGUCAAAAUUUGGCAUAGGGGUUACAAAACUAUAAACCUAGCCCAAAGCAGAGUGAUCUUUGCUGUGUAAUUUUUAAUAAAUAAGACAUUGAUAUCGGUUUAAUGAACAUCUGCAUCUUAAAUUUAGGAAGAUUACCAUAAUUUCUAAUCUUGGCUUUAGGGAGUCUAGUCCACAGGCAGUAAGGAGGUUUGUUCUGGGAAAAAACUGUUACUGUCUUUGUUUCAAAGCUAGACUGUAAAUUAAGUUCCUCCCAAAGUCCAGGAACGAAGAAGGACAGCUUGGAGGCUAGAAGCAAGAUGGAGUCAGUUAGGUCAUAUCUUUUUCACUGCCUCAGUUAUAUUUUUGCAAUGGCAAUCUAUAACUUUAAAUCAUAACUAUCACAGUUUUCAUAAAUAAUCCAGGUAAACAAUUAAAAUAAAAUAAUUAGGUAAAUGUAAUGAGAUAAAUACUUGUAGACAAAUGUCAUAAUUUAGAAUCUAAAGUUAAAUUAAAUAAUAGAGAUUUCAUUAUUUGGGUAUUUUCCAAUCUAUAUUGUAGGAGAAUAUUCUUGCAAAAAAAAAAGUGUGUCCUUUUUAAAAAAAAAAAUAGGUGAACACGUUUUAUCUAAUUCAAAGCUUAUUUAAAGGUUAUGUAUAAAACAAGGUAAAAGGAACCAGGAAAUAAAAAAGAGAUGUAAAAAAGUUAUAAAAAUAAAGAGAUUUUAUGUGUGCAUGGUAAGAAAGCUUAAAGAGAAACAAUUUUAUAUGAGAAAGAAUCUUAUAUGGCAGAUUUAGUCUUAGAGAAAAUGACGGGUUGUUUCAGAAGGAGGAAUACUCAGGACAAACCAGAAGGUCCCAAGCAUGUUAUGAACAGUUAGUGUAAGUCACAAUAAGAGGAUUUAUUUUGAGGAAAAAAACCCAAAAACUUGUAUAUGAUGAAUUUGUCAUAUUAUGAUUAAGUUUUGGUUUGCUUAGGAAAAAUAACUGAGAUAAUUUUUUUGAAUUAAGGUUAUUACAUCCAUAUAUCUUCCUGUAUGUGCUUUUAAAGUUUUUGUGACAUUGAGUUACAGGGCUUUGACUCCUGGGUCUAAAAAGGACACCAAUUCCUGCUAAAUCUUAAACACUGACAGCAAUUAAAGCCUCAUCUUCAGGCCCUGUAGAAGAUGCCAAUCAAAAUAAACUGCAUUCCUGAGACACAGGGCCAGAAAGGAAAGCCAUUCAACUUCUCAAGGCCCAGGGACUAUCACAGAAGAGGUGGGCAUGUAAGAUUGUAAGGGCCGAUUUUAAAAGAUAAAAUAAGUUCAGUUUCUGCAUAAAUUAAUCAUUAAUGUCAAAGACACACUGAUGCAAGACCAGCAUAUGGACCACUGUGUCAGAUUAGCAAGGUUUUCUUGAGGCAUUAACCAACUCCUUAAUAAAGGUUAUAAAAGUUAUAAAAGGCUUAUGGAACUUAUAUUUUAUGAUCAAGAUUAAAUUUUAUAGAUUGGUUGCAAAAUUUGGGAAAACAUUUAAUUGGCUUCAUGCUAUUUUUAUUAGGACUUCUUAUUUGGAAAAUUAAGUCUCCUCUCUCAAAGAAUGAAGGUUUUCACUUUUUUGAAAUGCUUGAGUUACCACUUGGUUACAUGAAUGACUUCACAAUGGCCUGUAAUCCUAUUUUGUGAUAUCAAGUGUCUUAAACCUUUUAUAUUUGACAAGCUUUCCAAAGUCAAACUACAAAUUGUGUCUUUUUCUGACCUAAUUAAUCCUUUAAGAUAUUAGUUUCCCUAAAGUCCAAAAAUGACAUAAGUUGGCUUAUUUGGUAAAAAAAAAUUAUACCAGAAGAAUUGUCAAAUAUUAAAUGGUGCUUUAUUUUCUUUGGGCUGUAUUUGUAUAAAUAUGUUAUUGGUAAGUGUUCCAAAAUUAUGGAAAACUCCUGUUAUUUUGAUAUGACUUAGUGUACAUUAUUAGUAAUGAUUGUUAUGUUAAAGUUAUUGUGUGCCACAGUAAUAAUACAUUUCUUUGUCAAUUGUGUCUUUGACUAUGGGUGCCCUAAAACCUUUUUUCAUCCAUGGACAAUUGUCUUGUUUUGGUCCUCUUUAGAAGUUGGUUUCAUAAUCAGCUAUAAAACUUCAACAGGUGCUCUUGAGUGCAAGAUUCUGAUAACUUCAAAGAUUGUAACAUUGGAACAGAGAAAAAAAUGUUCAGGACUCACGGAGAGUUAAAAUGUUCAUGAGUAUCAAGCAGAAUAGAAAUUAACUGCAUGGACUGAACUAUUCUUCCUAACUUUUAAUGUUUGCUGAUCCUUUGUGUUGUUUUUCAGAGUCUUAAAACUUUUCUUUUGAGCUAUUGACAGCUUUAAAAAAUUUAGUAUACUCCUAUGAACAAAAUUUGGAGCAUUUUUGUUUCUAUCUGAUUUCUCCAGAAUUUGGAACUAUUUGUGAGUAUUCUUAACUUAUGGUAAUAUAGUUAUGUGCAUAAGUGCAACAAGAAACUGUUUUCAGGCCAGGAGUGGUGACUAAUGCCUUUAAUCCCAGCACUUUGGGAGGCCAAGGCAGGUGGGUCACCUGAGGUCAGGAGUUUGAGAACAGCCUGGCCAACAUGGUGAAACCCCGUCUCUACUAAAAUACCAAAAUUAGCUGGGUAUGGUGGUGGGCAUCUGUAAUCCCAGCUACUUGGGAGGCUGAGGCAGGAUAAUUGUUUGAACACAGGAGGUGGAGGUUGCAGUGAGCCAAGAUCGUGCCAUUGCACUCCAGCCUGGGUGACAGGAGUUAAACUGCAUCUCAAAAAAGAAAAAAAAAAAAAAAAAAAGAAUCUGUUUUCAUUUGUAACAGGACAUAAUUGGAGAAACUGGUUAUUUGACCAAGACUUUAACUGGAAUGGUGUGCUCUCCUUUAAGGAAUCAAACUUGAGUUAUGGAGCCAAUAAAGCCCUUGGAAAAACUGGCCUCAUAUUCUGUGUACGCAGUCCCUGUACAGGAUUUCUGACCUGUGCUAAGUAAAGAAUGUCACUUUCUGACAGGCCCAGAAGCCUCAGGUUUAUCUUGGAACCUCAAGAGGAGAGGAAAUAUACCCAACUCAUAGAUAUUUGAUGGCACGAAUCCAUGGCUGGGCUCAGCUUUUAAAAAGUUUUAUCUGAGAUUCCUUCUAUGGAACAAAGUUCCAUUAAAGCCAAUUUAAAAGCCUAUGUAAAAAUAAUUAUUCUUGCUGCAAUGCAUACAAAUAAUUAGGCCAAGUAUAAUAAAGAAAACCAUUUUCGAUUUGCCUUUAGCAAAAUGGGAAACUGGAGAGAGAAAAAUUAUGUUUCAAAAACUAUAGUACCCCUGUUGUUAGGAUCUAAUCUUGCCUAAUGUUUUUCCAAGUCUUCAGAAUAAUGUUUUCUUUUAUUUCCUUCUUUUUUUCCAUUUUUCCUAAUUGGGAGUCACUGAAAACUAAGUUAUGCUUUCUUUAAACCCUGCAAACUCAAACCAGACAACCUAAACUUCAGAAGAAAAUAACAGCAAUCUAUUUACAUACAUAAGCCACUUUCAUACCUGCCUACUGUUGUAUAGACUUCAGAGUAAUGUGGCCUAUAUCAGUUUUCCAGGAUUGCUCUUUUGUUUGUUGUUGUUUUUCUCCCCUCCUCUCCCUAAUUUCUCUUCAUAGGAUGUGAGACUUCACAACCUGCUAAAAAUGAGCUUUUGGGACCUACCCAUCUAGGAAUAAACCGUCCUAACCAUAAGAGAUCAGGUGAAACCUGACACCAGAGGCUCAUUUUCUUCUAAAAUGUUUUCUGCAAAAGAUUAAGAAGAAAAGGGGGAAAAUGUGGAAGGAAAAUACCUUGGGCCCUUUCAAGCUGGGAACUGCUCAGGGCAAAUGUGCCUCCCAUUCUAUUCAAAGUCAUCCCUCUGCUCAUUGAGAUAGAAGUAUAUCUGAUUGCCUCCUUUGGAAAGGCUAAUCAGAAACUCAAAGGAAUGCAACUGUUUGUUGUCUCUCACCUAUCUGUGACCUGGAAGUCCCCUUCGCACUUCCAGUCUUCCUGCCUUUGCUUCAAGUUGUCCUGCCUCUCCAGACCAAACCAAUGUACUUAUUACAUAUAUUGAUUGAUGUCUCAUGUCUCUCUAAAAUGUAUAAAACUAACUUUUGCCGUGACCACCUUGUUCACAUGUCGUCAGGGCUUCCUGAGGCUGUGUCAUGGGCCCACGUCCUCGACCUUGGCAAAAUAAGCUUUCUAAAUUAACUGAUAACGUGUCUCGGAUUUUUGGGGUUCACAUAUCCAGAAGUAUAUCUAUAAAAAAUUAUUUAUGUUUUCUUCAAAAUUACAAUAUCCACUGUAUAGAGCACCAUAGACAUAAGUAACUCCAUUUUAGAAAAAGACUUCAUCUUAUAUUUCAAAUGGCAUCAUAUCAGUGGGACCAGAUGUUUGUCUAAUCAAUAGAGUCUAUACCCAACAAGACUGAGGCGUAAGACAGCCCUCGCCAGAGGAUGCAAGGAGGUACGAAGAACAGGGCUUCAUCAGUUCAACACAGUCAUCUCAUUAGACAUUGUCCUGCUGUCACUCUUGGGCAGCGCCUAGCAUCUGCUGCUAAAGGCUCUGCCCAAAUCAAGAACUCUCCCUUGCAAGACUUUGACAAGCGCCUGGAUUAGUCCAAGACAGUCUCCUUGUCCAUGUUGCUAUCCUUGGACUGGUUCAUUAACAUCUUUCCCUAUACUACACAGUUUUCUCUCAAUGUUAAAUGUUACUGUGAUGUGGAAAUUUUAAUCUACCAUAUGCAUGUAUUAAUUAUACUACUAUGUAUGGUUUGCCAUAUUGACUAACUUGUAGAUCAGCUUGAGCCUGUGUGUUCUUGGCUGUGACUGCCAAGUGAAGAGAUAAUGCUAAGGAGAGUUGUCUCCUUGGGAACUCCCUGUAGCUUGUGGCUUUUAUGAAUAAAUAAGCAUCAGUAAAAGCCUGACCUUAAUGUUGUACCUGAUCAAGUCAGAGAAAAUGCCACACUUUGAGAUGAAUUAAAGAGUCCGUUUAUUCAGCUGGUGGCCAAGAGACGGCUAAAGCUCAAAGUUCUCUCGGCCCCGAAGAAGGGGCUAGAUUUUCUUUUAUACUUUGGUUUAGAAAGGGGAGGGGGGGUCUAGUUAAAACAAUUUUACAGAAGUAAAGUAGGCAAAAAAGUUAAAAGGAUAAAUGGUCACAGGAAAGUAAACAGUUCCAGGUGCAGGGGCUUUAAGACUAUUACAAGGUGAUAGACGCUGGGCUUUGGGCAUUAUCAAUCGGACGAAUUCCUGGGAACUGCGGAUAUUGCUCGCCACAGUAUCUUAUCAGUUAAUUGCAUUCUUGGAUGUGCUGGGAGUCAGCUUGCACAAGUUAAGUCGUUGAGGAAGGGGCUGCCAGUGAAAAAGCCAAGAUGGAGUCUGUCUGGCUUUCUUAGCUAAGGGAGAGUCAAUUCAGGUGGAAACAAGGCUAGGUGAUUAAAGGAAAGGGAGAGUCUAAGAACAGGGUUAGUAAAAAACAAGGUUGGGCAUUACAUUAUAAAAAGAUACAAACAUGCCUGUAUCUGAUUAUGUCUGACCUUGUACAUCUCAUGACAUCCGCAGUCAAUGAACAUGUCUAUUUUAGUCUCUGAAUAGGCCUGGAAAGGAAAGGUAUACACAAAUACUUGAUAAGUGGAAAAAAUAAAUGUUUGCAAUUUGGGUACAUACCAAUACCUUCCUUCUGUUUAUUAAUUGUUUAAGUUUUGCUUUUGUUGUAUGCAACUAAAUCAUGUUUAUGGUAUGCCUGUGUUCUGUUUUUUGCAAUUAUUUGACAUAAAUACACUGGUUUUGUUUUUAUUUUGUUUGUUUUAGUCUACCUUUCCUCAGAUAAUGAGAGCACUAUCUAAACAUGCAAUCUUUCAGGAGACAAAGUUGUGUAUUAUCCUUGUCUGCAGCCUUUGAACUUCAGAGAGAUGGUUACUUUCUGGCAUCUGAUAGCUCUCUCCAUUGUGAUUCUACUGAAAUAAAUCACUUCUGUCUUUAAUCAUGAUUCUGUAUCUGAACCAUUGGAGUCUACAACAAAUAGUAAUUUCCACAUGUGUUGUUUUCAAGGAUUUUCUUUGCUCUGCCCCACUUCAGCAAGUACUUUGUUAUUUAUGGACCAUAUUUUCUAAAAUAUAAAGCCAUAUAACUUUA
Molecule: long non-coding RNA, 8275 nt
Organism: Homo sapiens (human)
Lineage: Eukaryota; Metazoa; Chordata; Mammalia; Primates; Hominidae
Source: Ensembl